ACGGAAGGCAGCAGUGGGGAAUAUUGGGCAAUGGGCGCAAGCCUGACCCAGCAAUGCCGCGUGAGGAAGAAGGCUUUCGGGUUGUAAACUUCUUUUAAGUGGGACGAUAAUGACGGUACCACUUGAAUGAGCUCCGGCUAACUACGUGCCAGCAGCCGCGGUAAUACGUAGGGAGCAAGCGUUAUCCGGAUUUACUGGGUGUAAAGGGCGUGUAGGCGGGACAUCAAGUCAGAUGUGAAAGCACGAGGCUCAACUUCGUGUCUGCAUUCGAAACUGACGUUCUUGAGUGUUGGAGAGGCUAACGGAACUCCUAGUGUAGCGGUGAAAUGCGUAGAUAUUAGGAAGAACACCAGUGGCGAAGGCGGUUAGCUGGACAAUAACUGACGCUGAGGCGCGAAAGCGUGGGUAGCAAACAGGAUUAGAUACCCUGGUA
RNAcentral lists this ribosomal RNA (433 nucleotides) under uncultured Oscillospiraceae bacterium. RNAcentral describes it as "bacterial SSU rRNA". It matches the Rfam family "Bacterial small subunit ribosomal RNA", at positions 341 to 792 of the family's 1533-position model. The record is from RNAcentral. Lineage: Bacteria; Bacillati; Bacillota; Clostridia; Eubacteriales; Oscillospiraceae.